CAAUAGCGUGUAUUAAAGUUGUUGCAGUUAAAAAGCUCGUAGUUGGAUUUCUGGUGGGAGCGAUCGGUCUGGCGCUUAGCGCGAGUACUUGCAUCGUCUCCGGCCAUCCUUGGGGAGAGUCUGUCUGGCAUUAGGUUGUCGGGCAGAGGAUCCUCAUCGUUUACUGUGAAAAAAUUAGAGUGUUCAAAGCAGGCUUAUGCCGUUGAAUAUAUUAGCAUGGAAUAAUAAGAUAGGACUUUGGUACUAUUUUGUUGGUUUGCGCACCAAAGUAAUGAUUAAUAGGGACAGUUGGGGGUAUUCGUAUUCCGUUGUCAGAGGUGAAAUUCUUGGAUUUACGGAAGACGAACUACUGCGAAAGCAUUUACCAAGGAUGUUUNCAUUAA
RNAcentral lists this ribosomal RNA (383 nucleotides) under uncultured eukaryote. RNAcentral's name for it is "partial 18S ribosomal RNA". It matches the Rfam family "Eukaryotic small subunit ribosomal RNA", at positions 592 to 976 of the family's 1831-position model. The record is from RNAcentral.